RNAcentral lists this long non-coding RNA (2988 nucleotides) under Gossypium barbadense (sea-island cotton). RNAcentral describes it as "long non-coding RNA (GBAR_LNC016316)". Lineage: Eukaryota; Viridiplantae; Streptophyta; Magnoliopsida; Malvales; Malvaceae. The record is from RNAcentral.
GCUUGAGGGGGACGAGGUUUGUGGUUUUAGUCUGUUUCACUGCAACGUCAGGGAGAUAGGACUUGUUAUAGUGGGAUCCACUCUACUGCAACUUCAGAGAGAUAAGAUCUGUGGCUCUUCGAGAAAACAUUUACUAUCUUCAGUCUGCGACACUUCAACCUCAGUGUGAUAAGACUUGCAGCUUCAACUUGUUUUAUUGCAUCUUUAAGAAAUAAAAUCUGAUGCGAUCUGCUCUACUGCAACUUCAGAGAGAUAAGAUCUGCGAUUUUAAUCAGCUCCACUGCAACAUCAGGGAGAUAGGAUUGACUUCUUCUAUCUGCUCCACUGCAACUUCAGGGAGAUAAGACUGGAUGCGAUCUGCUCUACUGCAACUUCAGAGAGAUAAGAUCUAUGAUUUUAAUCCGCUCUACUGCAACUUUAGGGAGAUAGGACUGGUUUCUUCUGUCUGCUCCACUGCAACUUCAGGGAUAAGACUGGAUGCGAUCUGUUCUACUGCAACUUCAGAGAGAUAGGAUUGGUUUCUGCUGUGUGCUCCACUGCAACUUCAGGGAGAUAAGAUCUGUGAUUUUAAUCCGCUCUACUGUAACUUCAGAGAGAUAGGAUUGGUUUCUUCUGUCUUCUCCACUGUAACUUCAAGGAGAUAAUACUGGAUGCGAUCUGUUCUACUGCAACUUCAGAGAGAUAAGAUCUGUGAUUUUAAUCCGCUCUACUGUAACUUCAGAGAGAUAGGAUUGGUUUCUUCUGUCUACUCCACUACAACUUCAGGGAGAUAAGACUGGGUACGAUCUGCUCUACUGCAACUUCAGAAAGAUAAGAUCUGCGAUUUUCAAUCUGUUUAACUGCGAUGUUAGAGAAAUUAGAUUCACCACCGUAGUUUCAAUCUGUUCUACUGCAUCGCCUGAGAAGUAAGAUUCGCCGUCGUGACUUCAAUCUAUUGAAAUUGCAAUGUCGGGGAAGUGAGAUUCGCUGUUGUAUCUUCAAUUUGUUCCGCUGCAUCGCUUGGAAGUAAGAUCUACCGUUGUGGCAUCAAUCUUUUAAAUUGCAAUGUCGGGGAAGUGAGAUUCGCCGUCGUAGCUUCAAUCUGUUCUGCUGCAUCACCUGGGAAUUAAGAUUCACUGUUGUAGCUUCAAUCUUUUUAACUGCCGAGGAAGCAAGAUUCGCUGUUGUAGCUUCAAUCUGUUCCACUGCAUUGCUUGGAAGUAAGAUUCACCAUUGUGACUUCAAUCUUUUGAGUUGCAAUGUCGGGGAAGCGAGAUUCACCGUCGUAGCUUCAAUCUGUUCCGCUACAUCGCCUGGGAAGUAAGAUUCGCCAUUGUGACUUCAAUCUUUUGAGUUGCAAUGUCGAGGAAGCGAGAUUCACCGUCGUAGUUUCAAUCUGUUCUGCUGCAUCGCCUGGGAAGUAAGAUUCGCCAUUGUGACUUCAAUCUUUUGAGUUGCAAUGUCAGGGAAGCGAGAUUUACCGUCGUAGCUUCAAUCUGUUCCGCUGCAUCGCCUGGGAAGUAAGAUUCGCCAUUGUGACUUCAAUCUUUUGAGUUGCAAUGUCGAGGAAGCGAGAUUCACCGUCGUAGCUUCAAUCUGUUCUGCUGCAUCGCCUGGGAAGUAAGAUUUGCCAUUGUGGCUUCAAUCUUUUUAAUUGCAAUGUCAGGAAAGUAAGAUCUGCUGUUGUAGCUUCAAUCUAUUCCACUGCAACGCUAGGAAUGUAAGAUCCGCUGUUGUAGCUUCAAUCUUCUUAAUUACAAUGUCAGGGAAGUAAGAUCCGCUGUUGUAGCUUCAAUCUGUUCCACUGCAACGCUAGAAAAGUAAGAUCCGCUGUUGUAGCUUCAAUCUUUUUAAUUGCAAUGUCAGGGAAAUAAGAUCCGCUGUUGUAGCUUCAAUCUGUUCCACUGCAACACUAGAAAAGUAAGAUCCGUUGUUGUAGCUUCAAUCUUUUUAAUUGCAAUGUCAGGAAAGUAAGAUCCGCUGUUGUAGCUUCAAUCUGUUCCACUGCAACGCUAGGAAAGUAAGAUCCGCUGUUGUAGCUUUAAUCAAGAUUCACCGAUGUGGCUUUAAUCUUUUUAACUGCAAUGUCAGAGAAACAAGAUUCACCAAUUUGGCUUUAAUCUAUUUCACUGCAUUGCUUGGGGCGUAAGAUUUGCUGUUGUAGCUUUAAUCAAGAUUUACUGAUGUGGCUUUAAUCUUUUUAACUGCAAUGUCAGAGAAACAAGAUUCACCAAUUUGGCUUUAAUCUAUUCCACUGCAUCGCUUGGGGCGUAAGAUUCGCUGUUGUAGCUUUAAUCAAGAUUCACCAAUGUGGCUUUAAUCUUUUUAACUGCAAUGUCGGAGAAACAAGAUUCACCAAUUUGGCUUUAAUCUAUUUCACUGCAUUACUUGGGGCGUAAGAUUCGCUGUUGUAGCUUUAAUCAAGAUUCAUCGAUGUGGCUUUAAUCUUUUUAACUACAAUGUCGGAGAAACAAGAUUCACCAAUUUGGCUUUAAUCUAUUCCACUGCAUCGCUUGAGGCGUAAGAUUCGCUGUUGUAGAUUUAAUCAAGAUUCACCGAUGUGGCUUUAAUCUUUUUAACUGUAAUGUCGGAGAAACAAGAUUCACCAAUUUGGCUUUAAUCUAUUCCACUGCAUUGAUUGGGGCGUAAGAUUUGCUGUUGUAGCUUUAAUCAAGAUUCACCGAUGUGGCUUUAAUCUUUUUAACUGCAAUGUCGGAGAAACAAGAUUCACCAAUUUUGCUUUAAUCUAUUCCACUGCAUCGCUUGGGGCGUAAGAUUCGCUGAGGUGGCUUUAAUCGUUUGAAUUGCAAACUAUGGUUUCUUCGAUCUGCUUCACUGUCAAUACAGGAAGGCAAGAUCUGCUAUCUUCAUUGAUCUAUUCUCUGGGAAACAUGACCUGUAUAAUCCAUUUGAUGGACCUAUUUAUGCCUAGUGUUUAGGAUGUCAUGAUUAAAAUGAAUCAAAAUUUCCUAACUAGAUGUGUAUGAAUGAUAUUUGCAUGAAUGCAGA